GGGGACAGCGUUUUGGAUUCACUAAACCAAGUGUGAUUAUUUUGCUCCCAUGGCCGCAAUUUUCACUCCACAGCCAUAAAAAAAUACAUCAAAAUGGAGGUACACGCGUCCUGCUUCUCACAAAAUAGGUCUGAAGUUAUCAAAUUGUACCGCUUGCCCAGGAGGUGAGUACAUUCCUUAGGAGCCAGAGAUUCUGCCCAUUAACUCCCAUGUUAAAUUUUGGCCAAGAAACCCGACAAACACUACAGUGAAGCCGUUCUUAACUCGCUGUUGUGGCCACAUUUUUUCCACUAUGGACAUAAAAAAAUAUAUCAUUGUGUUCAUGAGAGUGUCAGGACUCCUAAGAUGGUCUUAUUUUUCUUAUGACUUAUGGAAAUUGCACUAGGGAAAAAGUUCAGAUGGUUUCUCAGUGCUCUCGCGAUAUCUGCACUUCUCUGGGCUGUUUGCUUUUGAUCACACACGCACACGAGUUCUUGUCUUUAACUCUUUUAACAUAUUAACUACUUAUUAUUCUUCUACUUCUGCUGUUCUUUACUGUCUACAUUUAUACAAUUAAUUUAACUUCAGCUGUUUCAUACUACGUUCGUACGUAGGGCAGUAACUGAAGCACGGCAAUAGAUGGUGCUGUUCUGCAUUCUCAAGUUACUAUGGUUGGAUGCUGCAGACUGCAGAAAUCUGUUUUACUAUUUGUACAUUUAAUUGGAACAUUGUUACACAUUAUUUUAAGGCAUUUGUUUUUCAAAUUCAAUUAUCCUUAUUAUCAGUUCGAUUUAUUCACAUCAAUCAUAUACGUUUUUCACUUUGGUUAUUAGAUAAUUUGUACAUUUAUCCUACUUAUUUACCUUCAGCUAUACUACAGUUUUUCCAUACCUUACUCCAUUUUUUAUUGGCAGUUUAGCAUUGCUUUUUCGGCUCUCAGCACUCAGCAUUUCCAUGCAUUUUCUGCAAGGAAAUGCAAUUUGUCUAGUUUUGUUUGAUAUCCUGGUCCAUCAGUCUCUUUGAAGUGUGUGCGUCCUAAGUUAUGCUUUGGUACAAUUUCACAGUCUUUGAUCCUCUGUCAUCUGUAGUGUCCAACAAUAUCACAAUUAGUGUCUGGCAGAUGUAAAGUGUCAUAGGAGCAGAAAAGAUGCAGCUUUGAUAAUACAAACAUAAUUCCGAGGACACAGAGAAAUGAGACAUUGAACUUUGAUUGGAGGAGGUGUGGCGUCUUUUUCACACUCUCAGUGAAACUAAGACAGAUCAAAGAGCAUGAUGCAGCCCGGCUGAAACACACUCGCAACAGUUUCAAACUUUAAAUAUGUGACCUUAACAAAGUCUGGGACAGGACAUAUUCUCAUGCUUUUUAGACUCUGCUUUUGGCUAUUGUUAGAACCUAGAGUGUAAAUCAUCAGCUUAUUCUUAAUGCAAUAUCAUAUCAAUUCUUUGCUGUUUUCUGGCAUUUUAGUCAACAACAAACACCCGUAUCUCUCUUUAAAGUUUUAUAAUCUUCAGGUUUAUAAUCAAAUGUUUGAUCCUUUCACAAUAAAGGCCCCUGCUCACAUUUGAAAUAUGUACAUAGACACAGGGCCAUUUUGAUACCCCAGACAGGAUAAAAGCCAAGGGUGAGAGCCAGGUAAAUGAUGAGAAACAACAUGAGUUUAUUGCUGUUCAUUUUUGCUGUUUUUAUUUAUUUAUUUGUUUUAAAGACAGAAAAUUAGGAAAUGGUGCCAAGGGGCAGCGCAAAUUAUACUUAAACAAAUUACGAGGGUGCUAGGUGCCUCUCCAGCAUGUGGCACUCUAGGCAACCACGGAUAUCACCAAGAGCAGGCCACUGCAUAGACAUGCUGGUUGUGUUAACAUACAUGAGGCAACCCUCAUAACUGUGGCUGGCUGUGCUGUGGUUGACACUUACAACCACAGCACCAGGGGGAUGGUAGAUGGAGAGCCACAGUGAGGAUCAGUCAUAGUAAAUUAUUGAAGAUGACAAUUGUUAGUGCAGCAGAGACAUUAGAUAACUGUCAACAGCCAAGAAAUACAGUGUUACGCAGUGUAAUGCCUGAAGAUGGCAAAUCCUAUAAUAUUGUGCCAAAAUGAGGUUCUACUGUUGUAACUGUGUGUCCCAUAUAUGGCGGCUGUGGUCCUUGAAAGGGAGACCCGGUUUUCAUUCCAGCCCUUUCUUAAAUUUCGUUCCCUGCUCUUUCUUCCACUUCUCUCAUCUGUCCUUUAUCCUGUCCAGCCAAACUAAAGGCAAAAGCUCCCAAAAUACUGUGUUGUUAUUUUGUUUUUAAAUGGAAGUGAGAUUACACUUGUGAAGAUAAAUCUGGUUAUGGUUAACUGCAAGGUUGUGUCACUUCAUUGAUCUGUUUGAUUCUUUUGACAAAUCCUUAAAGCUGAUUCUUACUCUAAAACUUGAGAGCUCUAGACUGAUCCUGUGACAGAUCAUAUCCAGUUACCAGCUGUAGCCAGCAGGAGGCGACCUUUCCUCAUGUCCCUCAUCGCACUCACGUCCUUACCUCCCUCCUUUUCUUUCCCUCUUUCUCUCUCACACUGAGGCCGGCUGCCACACUCUCCUCGUGUCCUAGCAACCACAGAACCCUGCCUCCAAUCACUACGGAUACCGGGAGGGACGGAGGGAGGGAGGGUGUGAAACAGGAAGAGAGAGAAGAAGAGGAAGAGGAGGAGGAGAAGUGGCUGGAUAAGCAUCGGCACCUCAAACAGUUAAACCAAAAGUAUGCAAAAAAAAAAAAAGAAGAUAAAAAUGAGUCAGUUUUCAGAGACAUACUGAGAUAAAAAAUUUGUGAGUGUUAGAGGGGAAUGGACAGUCCUUAAACCAUCAGCUGACCAUUUGAUUGUGUUAUAGCCUCUGGGAGUGAUGGUGAACUUCUAAAGCAUUUAAUUUGACAAUAAAAAUGUCCUCCCCUUUUCUAUGCAGCGCUAUUUACAGUCCAAUUAGCAAUUUGAUUAGCGACGACAUGUUUUGGAUCAAGAGCUGAGUCAAGUUCACCACACCAGUUAGGUCUGCAGAAUACUCUUGAUCAUUUAUUGGUUCAUCUUAUCUCCCUGAGUGGCACCUGCUUUAUGGAUUUGUUACUCAUGAGUCUCAGUGCCACUGUAAAAACUAAAUCACAGAAAGUUUCACCCUUGUUUAUAAGUGACAUGACCUCAACAAAAGGUAGCUUGUGAUUUACUCGCUGUAAAACCUUGUCAUUUCUCAGUUCUAUAAAUCCUCUGUAUGUAGUGCAAAGUUAUUUGUUUCUGGUGAGUCUCAGUUUUACUGUUGAUAGCAAGUUAUGAAAUGUUUUUCUCAGUGGUAUGAACCUGGAAAAUAGAUUUUCUUGUGAUGCACUUGUGGUGGGUUUACUUCCAAUAAAACCUUGUAAUUUCGUAGUUCUUUAAAUACCCCAAUGAGCAGCACCAGCUCACCUGUUUCUAGUGAGUCUCAGUUUCUUUGUAAAUAAUAACUUAUAAAAGGGUGUCCUCUAUUAGUGAGCUGCAGCAGGGUGGAGACGGAAAGCUUUUUUAGAUGCACCUUACUGAAGCCAAAGUUCUUGGCAGUCCAGCCAGAACAACGACACUUCCUUGUUGCUUGAUCACAUGUCACUCAAUGGUCCAAUCAGAGGCUUGGAUGUAGGGAAAGCCAUUGAAACCACAAAAGUACAUUCAACAUAUUUGGUACAGAUGCUGAAAGUGUUUUAAAAUAGUGAAUAUUCAAAGUUUUUAUAAACUUACAAUUCAUUGUUCUUCCUCCUCCUUCAGCAGCUGUUUGCACCCGCUCAUCUUUCUCUUCUUUCGCUCUCAUCCACCUUCUCCUGGAGACCAUUAAAUUUGAUGGUGCCAUCAUCAUCCUCCUUCUGUCCUUGUGACUCGUGGUGACCCUCUGUGCUUUAUUACUCCACUCUUUCACAGGAGGGUGGGGGUCAUCACUGCAGUGAUCUAUGUUUCUGUCACACAUAUGAGCUGUGCAUGAACGUUUGUGCACUUUAGCAGGGUCUGAAUCCUCCUUGAAAACCCUACAUCUUCUCUGUAAAAAUAUCAGUGAAAUGAAAAAGUUAAGAUUCAACAUAUGGAGGAAUCGAUCUGCUUUACUUUAACAGGAGGUAACAAUAAUGGACUAGAGUAACGCAACUCCACCAUAAAGAAACAGUUUUAAAGCAACAAAGCUUCAGAGAGGUUAUUCUCUACCCAUCUCUGUAGUUGUGAUUUUUUUUUUUUUUUUUUUUUAGAUUUCACAUCUCUUACCAGUCAAAAGUUAAAUUUCUUCAAAGUAAAUUCUUGAAGUUAAAGAUUAUUAUCCAUAAGUCCAAUCAGACUUGCUUUACAGUCAUGCAAACCACUAUGUUUUCCUUGCAGGGCUUGCUUGUUUGGAUCUUAUCAUUUUUCCAUGAUAUUAAAUUUUAAAAGCUUAGCUUAGACUUCAGUGCAAGGAAAGAAAUUCAUUCAUACUUCAAAAUGGAGAGUUCCUGUCUGGGAUUGAACCAUUCAGUUGCAUGGCAGCAGUUCUAACCACUACACCAUUGGGCUGCUAAGAGUGCUGAAGUUUCUACCUCAUUACAGUACCUCAAGAUAUUUGGUCUACACUUUAAUGAAAGUCACAAUGGACUUUUUGGAAAGAUACCACCAAUGAAAAACAGUUAAAAGGAUGAUUCUAAAGUAUAAAUAUUCAAUUGACCAGUGUUACAACCCAGCGAGAGUCUAGGGAAAAGGGAGUCAACACUAAGCACCAGUGUUGAUAAUAGUGGGGUGAUAUAUUUAUUUCAAGUAAACCAACAAGAGAACGUGUUAAAACAACAACAAAAGCUGACUCAUCUGACAAACAAAAAUGCAAGUCUGGCUCCACCUAUAAACUUCUAAUCAGUCACUCCACUAAAAAGUACCGAGGUAACAAAAGUAGAUUAAAUAAUGCUACCAGAUAUUCAAGAGAUACACAAAGCAACUCUGGUGAAGCUGACUCUUCCACAGAUGGGUCAGAAAGUCAUUUAUGUAAGUUCUGGAGGGAAAUCUGAACGUUGCUUCAGCUAGCUUACUGGCAGUUUUCUUCAUCUUCUUCGUCUAUCCUCUGUUUUAUGAUGUGUGGCAACCAGCAUAUAUACCACUACUAUUUUUGUAAGCAUCAAUACCAAUAUACUGUGACAGCUCUAGUUGAAACUGUGAAAAGUUUCCUUCUAAUUUAAAGGAAUAGUUGGUAAAUGGUAAAUAAAUAAAGUGAAAUGAGUAUGUUCUCAAAAUCAAUUGACUGAAUAGGUUAGCAGAAUCACUUUUAUGGUGGAAAAUACAAAUUCAAAAAGAUUUCAACUCAGUUAAAGAAUAUGGGAUGCAGAGUUUAUGUCACAAUGAAAUUUAGAUAGAAAACAAAAGGAGAGAAAAUCAAUUCAUCUGAAGAGAUCUACUCUGUUAAUUUAAGUUUGAUGGCACUUUGGAUCUAGGGGCUGUGGCUCAGUGGUAGAGUUGGUUGUCUUCCUAUCCGAAGGUUUGAUCUCAGGUCCGGCUGUCUACAUGCCAAGGUGUCCUGGGGCUAGACACUUGACUCCACCCACCCUAACUGGUUGUGCCAAAUGGGUGUGAAUAGGAUUAGUCAGAAACUGAUGAACUCUAUACAAAGCAGCCCCUGCCGUUAGUGUGUGAAUGAGUGAAUGUGUCACGUAAUGUAAAAAGCACUUUGAGUGGGCAGAAGACUGGAGAAAUGGAUAUAAGAAAAAAACAGCCCAUCUGAUCAUUUUCCAUCCUAGGCUAACUAUGACCUAGAUGAAUGAGAACCUACAUGGACAUAGUGCAAAUGAUACUCUGCUGCUAGAACAAACUGUUUGAUUUUUUAUAUGUCAGAUGUCUGACUGAACUGGCUUUUGUUACCAACAUUAAACAGAAAAAUAUAAAGACUAAUUAGUUAUUCAAUUAUGGUAGACGUUGGACUGUUUUUAUCCUUCUUCCUGUGUAAGCUUUUACGACGCACCCACUAUGUUAAGGGUCGGUUUUGACCUGACCUUAAAUCAGCUGUAAAUGACACUAAAAACAUUUCUCUAUCAUCCAGUUUGGUUCUUAUCUCUAGGUUACCCGGUAUAGCUUCAUUAUCCAUGAAAAUAUUGCUUAUAAUACUUUUGUUGUGGUCCUCUGGGCCUUUCUUUGUCAGUAUACCCCUCAUACAGACACCUGUACUGAACUGAUCUCACAUGUCUGGACAUGCCCGACAUUGUUUUUUGUGCAGGGAAAAACAUGGCAAAAUGAGAAUUUCCUAAAUCUCACAUGAUUGGAAGAGGAUCUGACUGUCAGUGUGGUGCCUGACAGUGCACUUAUGAUUUCAGUUUUUGCUCUAAUUGCUCUAAUUAUUAGAUAUUGAUCUAACCGGGUCAACAGCAACCCUAACAUGACAAGUGCCAUAAUUUUAAUAAGAGCAUUGUAUAAUUGAGUAAAUUAAAUUUUUUAAUUUUUAUUUUGUUGAAAUAGAGGUUCCUGACAAAGUCAAAAAGUCUUGAUGCCAAAAAAGCUAAGGUAAGUGGUUCUUUUAAGCAUUUAAAAUCAAAAACGGGUCGGUGCAGACCCUAACACAGGAGGAGGGUUAAAAUAAGAUUUUAAUAAACUGCAGUUAAACUUCUCUCACAACAGCAUCUAUGUCAGAUGAGAUGUGCUUCAACAACACACAAACAUUCAUCCUUUGAAGAAAUGAGUCCCAGCAAGAGCAAUGCAUUAAUGUACGGCUGCAAAACUUAAACUCAGAGCCACACAAGAGAUGAAGGAGGGAGAGGAGAAGAGAGAGGAGGGAGGGUUGGAGGGAAGAUGUGUAUGUCUGUGUGUGCGCGUGUGUGUGUGCAAAAAAAAAGAAAACGCUGGCUGCUGUUUCCGAGGCAACCAUCUCUUUCCCCUCUCCUCUUUAACCCUUUCUUCUCAGCACUUUCUUUUCACCUUCUGUCUCUUUUACCAUCGCAGUGAUCUCUCACUUUUUCAUGUCCUCUCACUCCAUCUGUCUGCUCCUCUCUCAUCUCCUUCACUUCGUCCACUUCUCUCCUCACUGUAUGAAAUCUUGAUUCGUGAUGCAUCCCGUCCCACCUUCAUCUUGAUUAUUCAUCCUCAUGUCAGAACACCUGUCGUUGUAUCUGUGUACGGGCGCUUUGUUAACUCUGAGUCAUUCUCUGCUGCAGAAUGGUCACAAAUUGUGGUGAACUGUGUUGGAUAUGAGGAAGUCAUUGUGAAGCUGCAGGUGUUGGAUGGUUUUAAAAGCUGUCAUAUUCUGCAACAACGUGGAUGCUGAGGACAGCGAAGAAUUUGAAAUGUUGGACGAUAAAUGUGGAAAAAUUUCAGUUCCUUGAGUGACCACUUCAGGCUGUCUCCCAAAAGAAGUCACUUCCUAUUAAGCCUCAUAUUACACGUUUGUAUGAGCUUUUUAUGCCUCAGCUUAGAUGAUAGGCUCGUAAUAGAGUAAAAAACUAAAAGAGAGACCAAAGGAAGGACACAGAGCAAAAGGCCUCUGUUUGAGUUCGAACCAUAGACUGUAUAUACUAUGGACAACUUAGUUCCGCCUUCUACCUGUAUACGGAUUUGAAGCCAAAAAGCUGCGUUUUUUUCUCCACUUCCUGAAACCAACAUUGCGCAGUAGCGUUGUUCACAUUUUGCGGGAGAGUUGCUGAGAGUCGCUGUGAUGACGCUCGGCUCAAACAGCGUAUCUCCAGCUGAGCUACGCAAUUCUUGUACGCCCAUAGGCUGUAUCAAGUGUCAAUCAUAAGAAACAUGAACUUUUAAAAAUGGAGCUGUACAGAAAAGAGGACUUGAGCACAAACCAGUCUUCCAAUAACUACAUGUCAACAUCGCAAGCAGGGGAGAGAAAAAUUUAUGUUCUGACUAAUAAAUUUUUAAAGUUUGUCAACAGCACCUUAGGGAUUGCUGGAGGAGGUGGGAUUUAUGACCUAUACUACGUCACCAGAGUGUGCUGUUCUCGGAGUGGCUUCAUCCAGCGAGGAGGCAGACGGAGUCCAUUCUACAUACAGUCUAUGGUUCAAACAUUGGGGUGGACAUGGCACUCCGAGUCAAAAAAACAAACAAACAAAAAAAAAACAUCAGUUUCCUCUCUUUGUGCUUGUGCCAGGCUAAAUAACACCAACAUGGAUAGGCAUGAAAGUGUAGUUCUUCAAGUGUCCACUUGUGGUCAGCAACAAAAGCCAAAGAUUCCUCAUUGAGUCUCAUACCAAAAUGACAAAUUUUCCUGUAAAAUUAAACAUGUUUACAGAUGGUUUUGGAAACAUAGCUUAUCUAUUUAUUAUAUGCACUGUAUGGUGGUUGAAUGCCUUUCAAUGCUUAAUUA
Xyrichtys novacula (pearly razorfish) is the source of this 8266-nucleotide non-coding RNA. NCBI's taxonomy places the organism in Eukaryota, Metazoa, Chordata, Actinopteri, Labriformes, Labridae. The record is from the annotation of a GenBank genome assembly.